This is a long non-coding RNA of Gopherus evgoodei (Goodes thornscrub tortoise), 146 nucleotides long. RefSeq lists it as uncharacterized. NCBI's taxonomy places the organism in Eukaryota, Metazoa, Chordata, Testudines, Testudinidae. The transcript has 3 exons. The record is from RefSeq and is a predicted model, not a curated record.
UAUUUUCCUCUUGUGCCUUUAAUAAUAUCUCUUUGAAAAACUGCAAACUGUCUUCUGUUGUUUUCCCCUUUAGACUUACUUCCCAUGGGAUCUUACCUAACAACUCUCUGAGUUUGCUAAAGUCUGCCUGCUUGAAAAUAGUUUUU